GCCUGAACACCACCAUCACCACCCCCAUCUCGUCUCCUAGCGGAAGCUAAACAGGGUAGGGCCCGGCGGGAAGUGGGAUGGGGGACCGCCUGCGAACACCCGCGCUGCAGGCU
Molecule: ribosomal RNA, 113 nt
Filed under: Myotis lucifugus (little brown bat)
Lineage: Eukaryota; Metazoa; Chordata; Mammalia; Chiroptera; Vespertilionidae
Source: RNAcentral